RNAcentral lists this small RNA (248 nucleotides) under Arabidopsis thaliana (thale cress). RNAcentral describes it as "ATSL212630". The record is from RNAcentral. Lineage: Eukaryota; Viridiplantae; Streptophyta; Magnoliopsida; Brassicales; Brassicaceae.
UUAAAAUAUUGUUAACAAAUACGUUUAUGCUAAUUUUAAGGGAUUAAUGUGAAGUUUGUUUGGAUUAAAUUUGAUUGAUAAUGUGAUUGACAAUUUAAAUUAAGAAUUUAAAGUAAAAUUAAUUAUUUUGGAAAAAAGAAAUAAUGCUAAUGGCAUUGGGUUGUAAAUAAGUCUAACUCUAGGAUUUAUUUGUUAAAAUGGCUGCAAAAAUGUAUAUAUAGAUAGAUGAUCUAACUUUAUUACUAAAU